GCCAGACUCCUACGGGAGGCAGCAGUGGGGAAUAUUGCACAAUGGGCGAAAGCCUGAUGCAGCAACGCCGCGUGAAGGAAGAAGGGUUUCGGCUCGUAAACUUCUAUCGACAGGGACGAAAGAAAUGACGGUACCUGAAUAAGAAGCCCCGGCUAACUACGUGCCAGCAGCCGCGGUCAUACGUAGGAUCCGAGCAUUAUCCGGAGUGACUGGGUGUAAAGAGUUGCGUAGGUGGCAUAGUAAGUAGCUAGUGAAAUCUGGUGGCUCAACCAUUCAGACUAUUAGCUAAACUGCUAAGCUCGAGACCGUUAGGGGUAACUGGAAUUUCUAGUGUAGGAGUGAAAUCCGUAGAUAUUAGAAGGAACACCGAUAGCGUAGGCAGGUUACUGGGACGGUUCUGACACUAAGGCACGAAAGCGUAGGGAGCAAACGGGAUUAGAUACCCUGGUACC
RNAcentral lists this ribosomal RNA (452 nucleotides) under uncultured bacterium. RNAcentral describes it as "bacterial SSU rRNA". It matches the Rfam family "Bacterial small subunit ribosomal RNA", at positions 330 to 794 of the family's 1533-position model. The record is from RNAcentral.